This 467-nucleotide ribosomal RNA is filed under the name uncultured bacterium. RNAcentral's name for it is "partial 16S ribosomal RNA". It matches the Rfam family "Bacterial small subunit ribosomal RNA", at positions 28 to 507 of the family's 1533-position model. The record is from RNAcentral.
GACGAACGCUGGCGGCGUGCUUAACACAUGCAAGUCGAACGGAAAGGCCCUGCUUUUGUGGGGUGCUCGAGUGGCAACGGGUGAGUAACACGUGAGUAACCUGCCCUUGACUUUGGGAUAACUUCAGGAAACUGGGGCUAAUACCGGAUAGGAGCUCCUGCUGCAUGGUGGGGGUUGGAAAGUUUCGGCGGUUGGGGAUGGACUCGCGGCUUAUCAGCUUGUUGGUGGGGUAGUGGCUUACCAAGGCUUUGACGGGUAGCCGGCCUGAGAGGGUGACCGGCCACAUUGGGACUGAGAUACGGCCCAGACUCCUACGGGAGGCAGCAGUGGGGAAUAUUGCACAAUGGGCGGAAGCCUGAUGCAGCAACGCCGCGUGCGGGAUGACGGCCUUCGGGUUGUAAACCGCGUUCGCCUGUGACGAAGCGUGAGUGACGGUAAUGGGUAAAGAAGCACCGGCUAACUACGUG